GGCACCGUCUGCCUCUCUGAACCCAGAGCCAGCUCCUGGGAAACAGGCAAGGCUUCAGGGUCGCGUGAGCAGGAGGAGAGCCUCCCGGCGCCUGUAGGAGCCACACCGCGCAUGGCACCAGCAGCUGCCUGUCCCCUGUCCAGGGCCUUCGGGCGGCGGAGAGUGAGGAUGCCAGACCUCCCGGCCACCUGCCAAACCUUCGCCACAACCGAGUACACUUCCACAACUCCUCGCCCCAUAAACAAGUCGGCAGGUCCAAAGCUGGUCGGUCUACAGCCACCAGAAGCAGGACGGACACAUCCCUCCGAGAUUGCCAUCGGCCUCCAGAGUCCACAGCCCAGCAGCCUCCACCAUGGGAUGGAGCACUCCAGGCCCAGAGGAAGCCUGACAGGGACGCCGGCCACCGGGGACAAGAGCCUCCUCGGGAAGAGGGGAUCCAGCUGCCGAGACGGUGAUUCCCUGUUCCUCACCCCGCCUGCUUGCUACUAUGAAGAACCGAUGACAGAAUCAAGCCAGAAUGAGAGUGAUGGUUCCUUCCCCACCCUCCU
Long non-coding RNA from Mustela erminea (ermine), 548 nucleotides. RefSeq lists it as uncharacterized. The record is from RefSeq and is a predicted model, not a curated record. NCBI's taxonomy places the organism in Eukaryota, Metazoa, Chordata, Mammalia, Carnivora, Mustelidae. The transcript has 3 exons.